This 433-nucleotide ribosomal RNA is filed under the name uncultured bacterium. RNAcentral describes it as "partial 16S ribosomal RNA". It matches the Rfam family "Bacterial small subunit ribosomal RNA", at positions 29 to 507 of the family's 1533-position model. The record is from RNAcentral.
AACGAACGCUGGCGGCAUGCCUAACACAUGCAAGUCGAACGAGACCUCCGGGUGUGCUUGCGCACGGGGGCGUAACGCGGGGGAAGCGGGACGUAGGCUCCGGAUAACACCUCGACGGGGGUGCUAAUGCCGGGAAAUGUACUCUGACAAAAGAUUGGUCGCCCGUGGUUGGGCACGGGUUGGUUUAGCCUGUGGGUAGGGUAAAAGCCUACGACGGCUACGAUCCAUAGCUGGUAUGAGAGGAUGGUCAGCGACUCUGGGACUGGGACACGGCCCAGACUAUUGCGGGAGGGAGCAGAGGGUAAUAUUGGAAAAUGGGCGAAAGCCUGAAGCAGCUAGGCCGGGUGAGUGAUGAAGGCGUUAGGGAUGUAAAGCUCUUUUACACGGGAUGAUAAUGACAGUACCGGGAGAAUAAGCACCGGCUAACUCCGUG